This 406-nucleotide ribosomal RNA is filed under the name uncultured bacterium. RNAcentral's name for it is "partial 16S ribosomal RNA". It matches the Rfam family "Bacterial small subunit ribosomal RNA", at positions 28 to 526 of the family's 1533-position model. The record is from RNAcentral.
GAUGAACGCUAGCUACAGGCUUAACACAUGCACGUCGAAGGACCGGCACACGGGUGAGUAACACGUAUCCAACCUGCCCUUAACUCGGGGAUAGCCUGACGAAAGAAAGAUUAAUACCCGAUAUAAAGAGUGGGGAUGCGUUCCAUUAGGUUGUUGGUGAGGUAACGGCUCACGAAGCCUUCGAUGGAUAGGGGUUGUGAGAGGAAGGUCCCCCACAGUGGAACUGAGACACGGUCCAAACUCCUACGGGAGGCAGCAGUGAGGAAUAUUUGUCAAUGGGCGCUAGCCUGAACCAGCCAAGUAGCGUGAAGGAUGAAGGCUUAUGGGUCGUAAACUUCUUUUAUAUAAGUAUAUGUAUUAUAUGAAUAAGGAUCGGCUAACUCCGUGCCAGCAGCCGCGGUAAUUC